Molecule: ribosomal RNA, 230 nt
Filed under: uncultured Bacillota bacterium
Lineage: Bacteria; Bacillati; Bacillota
Description: uncultured Firmicutes bacterium partial 16S ribosomal RNA
Rfam family: Bacterial small subunit ribosomal RNA
Source: RNAcentral
GACAAACGCUGGCGGCAUGCCUAACACAUGCAAGUCGAACGGACGGAGGCUUGAGAUCUCUUCGGAGUGACCGAGCCCGAGUUAGUGGCGGAUGGGUGAGUAACGCGUGGGGAACCUACCUUUUAGUGGGGAAUAAUCGUUGGAAACGACGACUAAUACCGCAUACAGUGUCCGGAUCGCAUGAUCCGGAUAAAAAGCGGCCUUUGUGCUGUCGCUAAGAGAUGGACCCG